AUUGUGUUGUUUAAGUGUUCCCUUUAUUAUUUUGAGCAGUGUAAGUCAUGAGGACAAACAAACUAUCCAAAAAGUAUCUGAUCUUGAUUAUGUGGAUAACAAUGUUAUCAGUCCACCACUAGAUGUCACUCAAUAGCUGUGUUCAGUCCUGUAGGGAAUUGCUACUUAGUAGCCAAAGUUAUUAUUAAUAUUACUAUUAUUGCCAUUUAUAUAGCGCCAACAGAUUCCGUACAAUAUUAUGAGAAGGGUGAUUUAACUAGAAAUAGGACAAUUACAAGAAAACUUACAGAAAUAAUAGGUUGAAGAAGACACUGCUCAAACAAGCUUACAGUCUAUAAGAGGUGGGGUAUAAAACACAUUAG
Pelobates cultripes (western spadefoot toad) is the source of this 362-nucleotide non-coding RNA. The record is from the annotation of a GenBank genome assembly. NCBI's taxonomy places the organism in Eukaryota, Metazoa, Chordata, Amphibia, Anura, Pelobatidae.